CUCUAGCAUGUGGGGGAAAGGCUGUAAUGUGAGUGAGUGACACUGGGAGGAGGGAGAGAGAGAGGUGCUGCUCUAGCAUGUGGGGGAAAGGCUGUAAUGUGAGUGAGUGACACUGGGAGGAGGGAGAGAGAGAGGUGCUGCUCUAGCAUGUGGGGGAAAGGCUGUAAUGUGAGUGAGUGACACUGGGAGGAGGGAGAGAGAGAGGUGCUGCUCUAGCAUGUGGGGGAAAGGCUGUAAUGUGAGUGAGUGACACUGGGAGGAGGGAGAGAGAGAGGUGCUGCUCUAGCAUGUGGGGGAAAGGCUGUAAUGUGAGUGAGUGACACUGGGAGGAGGGAGAGAGAGAGGUGCUGCUCUAGCAUGUGGGGGAAAGGCUGUAAUGUGAGUGAGUGACACUGGGAGGAGGGAGAGAGAGAGGUGCUGCUCUAGCAUGUGGGGGAAAGGCUGUAAUGUGAGUGAGUGACACUGGGAGGAGGGAGGGAGAGAGGUGCUGCUCUAGCAUGUGGGGGAAAGGCUGUAAUGUGAGUGAGUGACACUGGGAGGAGGGAGAGAGAGAGGUGCUGCUCUAGCAUGUGGGGGAAAGGCUGUAAUGUGAGUGAGUGACACUGGGAGGAGGGAGGGAGAGAGGUGCUGCUCUAGCAUGUGGGGGAAAGGCUGUAAUGUGAGUGAGUGACACUGGGAGGAGGGAGGGAGAGAGGUGCUGCUCUAGCAUGUGGGGGAAAGGCUGUAAUGUGAGUGAGUGACACUGGGAGGAGGGAGAGAGAGAGGUGCUGCUCUAGCAUGUGGGGGAAAGGCUGUAAUGUGAGUGAGUGACACUGGGAGGAGGGAGGGAGAGAGGUGCUGCUCUAGCAUGUGGGGGAAAGGCUGUAAUGUGAGUGAGUGACACUGGGAGGAGGGAGGGAGAGAGGUGCUGCUCUAGCAUGCGGGGGAAAGGCUGUAAUGUGAGUGAGUGACACUGGGAGGAGGGAGG
This is a long non-coding RNA of Oncorhynchus keta (chum salmon), 967 nucleotides long. RefSeq lists it as uncharacterized. The record is from RefSeq and is a predicted model, not a curated record. Lineage: Eukaryota; Metazoa; Chordata; Actinopteri; Salmoniformes; Salmonidae. The transcript is spliced from 4 exons.